CGAAUAUCCAAGGUUUCCAGGGUAAAGCUGAUCUGCCCUGGGUAAGUCGGGGCCUAAGGCGAGGCAGAAAUGCGUAGUCGAUGGACAGCAGGUUGAGAUUCCUGCACCCGUAAUGAACAGAACUGUAGUGACACGGAAGGUAAGACAGAGCCGGGAAUGAGAAAACCGGUGCAAGCACAAUAGAUGUGUGGGAGGAAAAACCCCCGCAUAAGUCGAAGGUGUGACGCGGACCGAAAAAGAGUAGGGAAGCUGUUAAGCAAGCCGUCAAGAAAAGCUGCUAUUGUUUCAUUAUGGCCCGUACCGUAAACCGACACAGGUGGAUGGGGAGAGAAUCCUAAGGCCGGCGGAAGAAGUAUUGUUAAGGAACUCGGCAAAAUGACCCCGUAACUUCGGGAGAAGGGGUGCCUGCGAGAGCAGGCCGCAGAGAAGAGGCCCAAGCAACUGUUUAGCAAAAACACAGGUCUAUGCAAAACCGAAAGGUGAGGUAUAUGGGCUGACGCCUGCCCGGUGCUGGAAGGUUAAGGGGAGUGGUCAGGAAACGAAGCCACGAACUUAAGCCCCAGUAAACGGCGGCCGUAACGAUAACGGUCCUAAGGUAGCGAAAUUCCUUGUCGGGUAAGUUCCGACCCGCACGAAAGGCGUAAUGAUUUGGGCGCUGUCUCGACAAUACACCCGGUGAAAUUGAAGUGCCAGUGAAGAUGCUGGCUACCUGCGCCAGGACGGAAAGACCCCAUGGAGCUUUACUCCAGCUUGAUACUGGGACCCGGUAUUGCAUGUACAGGAUAGGUGGGAGGCUAGGAAAUGUGGACGCCAGUCUGCAUGGAGCCGCUGUUGGGAUACCACCCUUGUGGUGCUGGGUUUCUAACCAGAGGCCGUGAACCGGUCUGGGGACAAUGUCAGGUGGGGAGUUUGACUGGGGCGGUCGCCUCCGAAAGGGUAUCGGAGGCGCCCAAAGGUUCCCUCAGAAUGGUUGGAAACCAUUCGAAGAGUGCAAAGGCAGAAGGGAGCUUGACUGCGACACCGACGGGUGGAGCAGGUACGAAAGUAGGGCUUAGUGAUCCGGUGGAAUUUAAGUGGGAAUGCCAUCGCUCAACGGAUAAAAGCUACCCUGGGAUAACAGGCUGAUCACUCCCAAGAGUUCACAUCGACGGAGUGGUUUGGCACCUCGAUGUCGGCUCAUCGCAUCCUGGGGCUGAAGUCGGUCCCAAGGGUUGGGCUGUUCGCCCAUUAAAGCGGUACGCGAGCUGGGUUCAGAACGUCGUGAGACAGUUCGGUCCCUAUCCGGCGUGGGCGUAGGAUAUCUGAGAGGAGCUGUCCUUAGUACGAGAGGACCGGGAUGGACUGACCUCUGGUGUACCGGUUGGCGAUCAACGCCACGGCCGGGUAGCCAUGUCGGGACGGGAUAAACGCUGAAGGCAUCUAAGCGUGAAGCCCCCCUCAAGAUGAGAUAUCCCAUCGUAAGAGUAAGACCCCUUGAAGACGACGAGGUUGAUAGGGCAGGGGUGGAAGUGCCGUAAGGCAUGGAGCUGACUGCUACUAAUCGGUCGAGGGCUUGAUCAA
RNAcentral lists this ribosomal RNA (1560 nucleotides) under metagenome. RNAcentral's name for it is "bacterial LSU rRNA". It matches the Rfam family "Bacterial large subunit ribosomal RNA", at positions 1338 to 2925 of the family's 2925-position model. The record is from RNAcentral.